CCUGCCUUCAUCUCCCCCAGUUUAUCCCACCUACUUUGCUGCUAGUGAAGAUCUUUGAAGGAGAAAAAGAAAAAAAAAAAAAACCAAAAACUUUGCACAUUGUGAAAAAAGAUAUGAAAUGGAAGGGAAAAGAAGGGAGUUGCAGACAUUCAGACAGAGGGUCCUGGCUCUGAACCUCACAGACCUCUGAGUGGAAAAGGAGAGAAAGGAGCAGCUGUGGUGUCUGUGGAGGAAAGUAGGAGAAUAUGGCCUUCAUGGAGUAGUCCAGAGAGCUCCCGCUGCCUGUGCCUGGCAGGCUGGACACACACAUCUUGCAUCCUGGUUGUGCCCUGGGUCUGCAGCGUGGUGCCCUUCCGUGCAGAUUUGAUGGACUUCUCUGCCUCUCCUUGGAAACAUGUAAGCAGAAACUGGGCCAGAGAAACCACCCCUGAAUGAAGAAAAGGAUGUGGCACUAGCUGGCAAAUUUGGACAUGUCAUUCAGAACGUGGUACGGAGGUCCUGAUGAAAUUGGAAAAGCAUUCAGAGAUAAAAAUCAUUCUGGGAUGAAUCCAGACACUUCCUGCCCAUCUCCAGAUGUCACAGAGCUGGAAGCCAC
Molecule: long non-coding RNA, 595 nt
Filed under: Bos indicus x Bos taurus (hybrid cattle)
Lineage: Eukaryota; Metazoa; Chordata; Mammalia; Artiodactyla; Bovidae
Description: lncRNA (ENSBIXG00000013804.1)
Source: RNAcentral